This 469-nucleotide ribosomal RNA is filed under the name Salmonella enterica. Its description in RNAcentral is "partial 23S ribosomal RNA". It matches the Rfam family "Bacterial large subunit ribosomal RNA", at positions 751 to 1218 of the family's 2925-position model. Lineage: Bacteria; Pseudomonadati; Pseudomonadota; Gammaproteobacteria; Enterobacterales; Enterobacteriaceae. The record is from RNAcentral.
GUUGGGUAACACUAACUGGAGGACCGAACCGACUAAUGUUGAAAAAUUAGCGGAUGACCUGUGGCUGGGGGUGAAAGGCCAAUCAAACCGGGAGAUAGCUGGUUCUCCCCGAAAGCUAUUUAGGUAGCGCCUCGUGAAUUCAUCUCCGGGGGUAGAGCACUGUUUCGGCUAGGGGGCCAUCCCGGCUUACCAACCCGAUGCAAACUGCGAAUACCGGAGAAUGUUAUCACGGGAGACACACGGCGGGUGCUAACGUCCGUCGUGAAGAGGGAAACAACCCAGACCGCCAGCUAAGGUCCCAAAGUCAUGGUUAAGUGGGAAACGAUGUGGGAAGGCCCAGACAGCCAGGAUGUUGGCUUAGAAGCAGCCAUCAUUUAAAGAAAGCGUAAUAGCUCACUGGUCGAGUCGGCCUGCGCGGAAGAUGUAACGGGGCUAAACCAUGCACCGAAGCUGCGGCAGCGACACUGUG